CGUACCCAAUGUUGGCUUAGAUGAAUUAUCUAGCCAACCCAUCUACACCUACAUAAUUAUUUGAUGACCACAGUUGCUCUUCUAGUGUCCUAUAAUAUUUGGAUUUUGAAGAACGCUCUCCCUUCCUCAUUGUGUUAGUUUAUUUUAUUUGACCUAAAAUUUCAUUUCUAUCUAACAUUACUUUUUUCAGUUCUAUCCUUUGUCAGUUCCUAUCUAUCUAGGUACUUACAGAAAAGGUUGGCCAAUUUUCAAGGAAUAUUAUAACAACAUCUAGACUGAACGACAACGAAAUGUAAGCUCAGAUUAGGUGGAACUAGUAAUUCAUAGGCUAUGUUUGUUUGCAAAAAUGAUAGGUGGAAUCUGACUAUUUGUAGUAUCAUCACCAGUCCGGACUAUUUAUUGUUGAUUAGUCCGUUAUUUAAUCCAUCGACUAUUUCUGAUCAUUUCUAAAAUCAUGUGAUACAUGGGAUUAUAUAAUAUCACCUUUCCACAUAGGAUUAUAAUCCAAUUUCAAAUGGCCUUAAAAAUGAUAAGCUAUUCCUAACUUGCCAAGUAUCUAGCUCAAAUUGACUUUAAAGUCUGAUAUUAGAAAUAUCAAGCCCGAGAUAAUUCAAAACAGAGGCAUCCAUCAUCAGAUAAUCCUAGUAAUUAAAAUUAACAAAAAAAUAUAUACAACUCAUCAACGAAAAACGAAAAAUACGGACUAGUUUACUCACAAAUUAUUUCUAAAAUCUCAAUAAUUAAAUGUAAUAGAGUCAAAAUUAACUUUGUGUAUCCAUAUAUAUAAACAUGUACAUAUACAGAGAGAGAUAGAGAUAGGGAUAGAGAGAGACUGACGCGUCGGGAAGGAGUUGAGUAUGGAAAGAAAGACUUUGCGGCAGAAGCAGUGCAACGAUGGAAUGUUGAAGAAGAUGGAUGAGUGAACAGUGUGCAGAAUCCUCCAUUGCCGAAUUGUCUCAUUAGAAGAAGCUCCAGACUGCUUAAUUUAAUUCCUGUUUAAUUUCUCUCUCUCUCUCUCUCUCUCUCUCUCUCUUCGUUGUCCCGUUCCUCCCUGCUUAUCGAUGAUAUUGAUAGUUCAGGCCUCAGGGUGUAUUUGGUGCUUCUCAUUACAUACCCCGUGUUCGGGAAUAACUUGUCAG
RNAcentral lists this long non-coding RNA (1139 nucleotides) under Panax ginseng (ginseng). Its description in RNAcentral is "long non-coding RNA (PGIN_LNC018476)". Lineage: Eukaryota; Viridiplantae; Streptophyta; Magnoliopsida; Apiales; Araliaceae. The record is from RNAcentral.